This 2367-nucleotide long non-coding RNA is filed under the name Ixodes scapularis (black-legged tick). RNAcentral describes it as "uncharacterized LOC115331250". The record is from RNAcentral. Lineage: Eukaryota; Metazoa; Arthropoda; Arachnida; Ixodida; Ixodidae.
UUCACUUUGCAAUCGUUCAACAAUUCGUGGUCCUAAGUUUUCCCACGUGUCUGAGUGCAGAACGGUUUGUACUGGUUAAAGCCUAUUGCGCCGUUCUGCGGGUUGUGUUUUCGAGGGCCCGCCGGGCGCGUUGAAGCCUCCGUUCAUCGGGACAAUGAGCCUGUCGCAUGUAAAGUGACGCUGCUCGGUAGCGCGAUGCUCAAGUGAUGACUGCACCGCAGGCACCACACUUCAUCGUUUUCCUGUGGACUCUGCAAUGUGAAACUUGUAGCAGCUGGGUCAGCUGCAACUAUGUGUGAUGUCCUGAUGGUGAUUGUCUGGUGAUGUCUGGCGGAGGGUCUGGGUUCAGUUCUGCCGGAACACAAGCCUUCAAAACAAGACACCACAGCAGCUGCGGGAACAGGCGAUAUGCUCCAGGUGCCGGAGAUGUCGUCCACAGCAGCAGCGCUCGCCAAUUGAUCAGCGAGGGCGAGCCCACACAGGCCAGCAGCAGUAGCAUCGGUGCGCCACAUCAUCGAGGUGUCACACGCAAGGCACUACGGAACAAUAUGUGGGGAGCAGUCUCGAAGACUGGCACUCGAAGAUGUGGGGAGAAGCUCGAAGACUAGCCCUACAACCAGAGUUCAUGUGAAUCACACAUACGCGAUGGAUGGACAUGGUCGUCCUUCUGGAGAAAAAGUUGUGUGGGCGCCCGAACCUUCCCCUACCGAUUAUGAUGCUUCGGUGACUUCGGCUCCUGAAGUUUCUCACCAACACUCCUGGGCCACCUGUACCGAGGGCAGGGGGAAGAUAACCGUGUUGAGGGCCAAACUUUGACAGCUUCAGAAUCACAACACGAGACUGCAGCAACGACUGCAGCGACGGCGUCAUAUGCUGACUGUCACUGAGAUAGUUGAAAGUGUACGUAGCCUUGUGUCUCCAGCCGUUGCUGCCCUUGUGGAACCUCAGCUGAAGAUGAGCAAUGCAAGCAGGUCGGCAGGCGGUGGUGCUGCCAGAACAAAGCCUUUGUCUUGGGCUUGCACAUUCACAGCCCUAUAAGUUACCGUUACUGUAGGCAAUUGGUGAGGCUCCCAUCCGUUAGGUCGUUACAGCUUUGGCUCCAGCGUGUUCCCCUGAGGGUUGGUUUUUAGCCAGAAGUUUUCCAACUUGUCAAAAGACGUGCAGUUUCUUUUUCACCAGAAGACAAGCCAUGUAUCAUUGUCUUUGACGAGAUUCACGUCACGAAAGAGCUCUCGUACAACCCCUCUGAGUACAGGUUUGAAGGGCUUGAAGAGAGUAGCACUGGAAGAGGCCAUAACCUUGCAAACAAAGCUCUUGUGUUUAUGGCUAAAGGCAUUUGCACGCCAUGGAAGCAGCCACUUGGCUAUUUUUUUGCUCAUGGGGGAACACCUGCCCAAAUUGUGCGAGACCUCCUUUUCCAGUGCCACAAUUUGCUUGUGAAAGCCGGUCUGCAGCCAGUAGCUGUUGUAUGUGACCAAGAUAAUCAAAAUGUUGCUAUUUUUAAUGACUUUGUUACCCCUGAGAAGCCCUACAUAACUGUGAACGAGAAGCCAAUUUUUUUAUUUGAUCUUCCGCAUCUGCGUAAGUGCUUGCGAAAUAUCUUCAAGUACAAUUUUCGAGUUGGGGACCGCACGUUAAAACGCUCUUUCCUAUGGGAAGCCUACGAAAAAGACAACAGCUUGAAAUCCGAUCCAUGCCCAGGCUCAAUGAAAAGCAUUUUAAUUUCACUUUUGCCUCCAAGAUGUCAGUGAAGCUAGCAGCACAAAUAUUCAGUAAUCACUGUGCUGCUGCAAUGUUCGCCAUGGUACCUUUUCAGAAACUGUCAGUUGAAGUUAUCCACACGGCCCGGUUCAUUGAGAAAAUGGAUCGCCUUUUCUAUAGCUUGAACAGCUCACAAAGACCCGGGAAGAGUGCAUAUGUGUCUGUAAUGCGCAAAGGCCCUGUUCACAAAGAGUUUCUGAGGGAACGCCUUCUCAUGUUAAAAAGCCUUAACAGUUUCUUGCGUACUAGGGCUCACAUAGACAGUCAAGCUGUGGAGCAAAAUAUGUAUGUGGCCAGCCCAUGUACUAUAACGAAAGGCCUCAAUUUUCAAUCUCUUGAAGCAUUAAUUAAUGUGGAAAUUCAAAUGCAAAAGAUAUGCAUGACUCCGCACUUCCACUUGUGAUUGAUAUGAUUAAAUCUAGUUAUGAGCUCUCAACGUGAACAGUGCAAGAAAAAUGCGUAAACGUGCCUCCCGUUGAGAGUAUUAAGUGCGUGCAUAGAGUUGUCCAAACCUGAUUUCCACUAUGUUUUCAACACCAUAUCUCUAUCUUUAAGUGUCCUGUAGUGGUUUUGUAAGUUUGUAUAUAAUAAAUUGUGUGAACCAAG